GGAGACGUAGCGAAGUGGUCAUAACGCGCCUGACUCGAAAUCAGUUGACCCUCACGGGUUCGUGGGUUCGAAUCCCACCGUCUCCGCCA
This 89-nucleotide transfer RNA is filed under the name Phascolarctobacterium sp. RNAcentral describes it as "tRNA-Ser". It matches the Rfam family "tRNA". Rfam says of the family: Transfer RNA (tRNA) molecules are approximately 80 nucleotides in length. Their secondary structure includes four short double-helical elements and three loops (D, anti-codon, and T loops). The record is from RNAcentral. RNAcentral also lists the same sequence under 1 other name. Lineage: Bacteria; Bacillati; Bacillota; Negativicutes; Acidaminococcales; Acidaminococcaceae.